RNAcentral lists this ribosomal RNA (217 nucleotides) under uncultured soil bacterium. RNAcentral's name for it is "partial 16S ribosomal RNA". It matches the Rfam family "Bacterial small subunit ribosomal RNA", at positions 26 to 245 of the family's 1533-position model. The record is from RNAcentral.
AGAUUGAACGCUGGCGGCAUGCCUUACACAUGCAAGUCGAACGGCAGCACGGGAGCAAUCCUGGUGGCGAGUGGCGAACGGGUGAGUAAUAUAUCGGAACGUGCCCAGUAAUGGGGGAUAGCCCGGCGAAAGCCGGAUUAAUACCGCAUACGACCUACGGGUGAAAGCGGGGGAUCGCAAGACCUCGCGUUAUUGGAGCGGCCGAUAUCAGAUUAGC